UGGGGAAUCUUCCGCAAUGGACGAAAGUCUGACGGAGCAACGCCGCGUGAGUGAUGACGGCCUUCGGGUUGUAAAGCUCUGUUAAUCGGGACGAAUGGUUCUUGUGCGAAUAGUGCAAGGAUUUGACGGUACCGGAAUAGAAAGCCACGGCUAACUACGUGCCAGCAGCCGCGGUAAUACGUAGGUGGCAAGCGUUGUCCGGAAUUAUUGGGCGUAAAGCGCGCGCAGGCGGAUUGGUCAGUCUGUCUUAAAAGUUCGGGGCUUAACACCGUGAUGGGAUGGAAACUGCCAAUCUAGAGUAUCGGAGAGGAAAGUGGAAUUCCUAGUGUAGCGGUGAAAUGCGUAGAUAUUAGGAAGAACACCAGUGGCGAAGGCGACUUUCUGGACGAAAACUGACGCUGAGGCGCGAAAGCCAGGGGAGCGAACGGG
This 429-nucleotide ribosomal RNA is filed under the name bacterium. RNAcentral's name for it is "partial 16S ribosomal RNA". It matches the Rfam family "Bacterial small subunit ribosomal RNA", at positions 355 to 776 of the family's 1533-position model. The record is from RNAcentral.